Molecule: long non-coding RNA, 2320 nt
Filed under: Nicotiana benthamiana
Lineage: Eukaryota; Viridiplantae; Streptophyta; Magnoliopsida; Solanales; Solanaceae
Description: long non-coding RNA (NBEN_LNC007495)
Source: RNAcentral
GCCAAUACAAACCCUAGAGACCAAACAUCUCCUUCCUCAUACCCAUUGUCUCCGCCACCUUCCGCCUCACUGCCGCCGGCCGGAAAUAGUCGCUGCCGCCGGCGCAGCUCCAAACUCACCCAAAAACACACCACUGAAUCACCUCUUCCUCCUCUUUCCAAUACCCUCAAAAUCACUCCCCAAAUUUCAUUCCAACUAUUCGAAUAUUCAAAAGAACAGAUGCUGCCUAUGGCGGAGCCACCGCCAAAGCCCUACAAAAUAACACCCAGGUUCCUCAUCUCAUCCCCAUAACAGAUCCAGCCUUAACUUCUUUCAAACUUUAGUCAAUCACCUCGAAUAUCCAUUCAAAACUCUGACCAAAUCCUCAACCUCCCCAGGAUUCCCCAAAUCGACAUCGCACAACCCCUUCACCUCCCUCUCCAUGAAUCUAUAACCAGUAACCCUCAAACAUGACUGAUUCUUGUCAAAAAUUAAAUCAAAAACCGGUCCAAAGCUUAACAUUUCCAAACCCAACCAAUCUUACACCCUGUAUUGUUCUCACUCUCUUCCUCUUAAAAUCCUGAUCAGUCUCUCUCAAAUGUCAAAAUACCUUCCCAAAUUUGAAAUCAAAGGAUGGCCGGAAACCCUAAAAGUUUAAGGGUCAUGGGUUUUGGACUACGCUAGUUACUAAGCUAAGUUUCCCUGUUCAUUCUCUUAUUUUUCUUUUCAUCUUGUUGCUGCAUGUUGUUCUAUGCUGUUUGUUCUUUGAAUAUUUGAUAAUGAUCUUUUGUUAGCUUUAUUUGAAAUUUUUGUUUACUCAAAUUUCUGUUCCUCUGUUUAAAUUCGUUGAUGAUCCGCUUUGAAUGAUUCCUUAUUGACUGGACUUCUAGAUUUCAUGAACAACAUGUUUGAGUAAUUUGAAUUGAAUAGUUGAGGAUUAAGUUGGGUUAUUAGGAUAUGAUUGUUCCAUCCUGCAUGUCUUAGGAUUAAAUUAGGAUUUGUGAUUAUGUUUUGAUUAUAUAACUCAUGUUCAGUAUUUAGUUAGUGUUGAGGUCUGCAAUUUUUUGUGUUAGUUUUGUUUGCUUUUGAUCUUGGGUAAAAUAAUUGGUGUGGCUUCAGUCUCCUUUACAUCUGGUGUUCAGUUUAUUCUAACAUUUUGGCUCAGUUUAAUCAGGGUGAUAAUCAUAUUGGGUUUGGUCAGGGUUUAGUCAUUCUUAUCUCUUUAAGUAAAUUAACUAUAGUCAAAUUCUGUCCAACUUGAUAAGAACUAGGUUGGUGUUUAGUUUAUUCUAACAUUUUGGCUCAGUUUAAUUAGGGUGAUAAUCAGAUUGGGUUUGGUCAGGUUUUAAUCAUUCUUAUCGCCUUAAGUAAAUUAACUAUAGUCAAAUUCUGACCAACAUGAUAAGAACUAGGGUGUAAUUGUUUAGGCAAAGUAAUUGAGGGAAAAGGACAAGGGUAAUAUGGGUAUUUGGAUAGUGGAAUCUUGUAGUAAACCCCUGGAACCUUCUAGUUAGAGGUUCAAAAACUAAAUUAUGGUAAUAUUCUGAUAAGACUUGAGGCACAAGCCAGAAAUAAGGGCUAAGUGAACAAUUCUAAGAAAUAUGAAAGGGACUAUUGAAUAAACACAAAAGAAAGGGGUUGCCCUAAGUUAGGGGUUAUAAAAGGCAGGUUAGUGCCUUCAUUCACAAGUCUGAAAUCCUUGAAAAUUCCCAAGGUUUGGAGUCUGAAAAUCCUAAAAACAAAUUCCAUAAAAAAUCACGGCCUCUUAAAUUGUUAAUUCAAAUAGCCAAAUCUGAAUUUAAAGUUAGAAUUUUCUGUUAGAUCUUUAAUCUUUAAAAAAACCAAAAAAUAAGGUGUUGUUUGUUUAGAGCUUUCCUCCAGAUUAAUCUCUAUAUUCAGUUAUCAGCAUAAAUGAGAUGAAAACAACCUGAAAUAUGUGUGUUUGAGGUACUGGACCUUCAGAAAUUGUCUUGAGUUUGAUUUCAAGUGGUAUGGGUUUAUGCAAGCUGUUUUGUGUGUUUACUGAUGUUGUUUUGUGAUUAAAGCUUUCCUGGGCUGUCUGAUGCUAUUUUUGGGUUCAUAAUAGGCUUGAGCUGUAGAUUUCUGUACUGAGUUACUGCUGAACUUGCUGACCCUGUUACCUCCUUUCAUCUUGCCUUGAUUCCAGGUAUUACUUAAUCUCAAGAGGUGUAUGAUAAUUGGAAAUGAAGAUUCAAGGAAUGGAUAAUGGAUUACUGCUUAUUACCUGAAGAUCUCACUUGUUUCAUUUAGCUUAAAGUUCUAUUUUAGUAUAAUUGAAACCAUAUUCCUUUGUUUGUAUUAGUAUAACUGUGGAUUUAUU